CCUACGGGAGGCAGCAGUGAGGAAUAUUCGACAAUGGACGGAAGCCUGAACGAGCCAUGCCGCGUGCAGGAAGACGGCCCUAUGAGUUUUAAACUGCUUUUGUACAAGGGUAAACGUGAAUACGUGUAUUCACCUGAAAGGACUGUACGAAUAAGGAACGGCAAACCACGUGCCAGGAGCCUCGGUAAUACGGAGGAUCCAAGCGUUAUCCGGAUUUAUUGGGUUUAAAGGGUGCGUAGGCGGAUUGGUAAGUUAGAGGUGAAAUGUACGAGCUUAACUCGGGAACUGCAUCUGAUACUGUUAGACUAGAGUGUAGAUGCGGAGGGCGGAAUGCAUGGUGUAGCGGUGAAAUGCUUAGAGAU
RNAcentral lists this ribosomal RNA (362 nucleotides) under uncultured bacterium. Its description in RNAcentral is "partial 16S ribosomal RNA". It matches the Rfam family "Bacterial small subunit ribosomal RNA", at positions 338 to 697 of the family's 1533-position model. The record is from RNAcentral.